GUACACUCCUGCGGGAGGCAGCAGUGGGGAAUUUCGGACAAUGGGCGAAAGCCUGAUCCAGCAAUGCCGCGUGAGUGAAGAAGGCCUUCGGGUUGUAAAGCUCUUUUGUCAGGGAAGAAACGGUGAAAGCUAAUAUCUUUUGCUAAUGACGGUACCUGAAGAAUAAGCACCGGCUAACUACGUGCCAGCAGCCGCGGUAAUACGUAGGGUGCAAGCGUUAAUCGGAAUUACUGGGCGUAAAGCGUGCGCAGGCGGUUUUGUAAGUCUGAUGUGAAAUCCCCGGGCUCAACCUGGGAAUUGCAUUGGAGACUGCAAGGCUAGAAUCUGGCAGAGGGGGGUAGAAUUCCACGUGUAGCAGUGAAAUGCGUAGAUAUGUGGAGGAACACCGAUGGCGAAGGCAGCCCCCUGGGUCAAGAUUGACGCUCAUGCACGAAAGCGUGGGGAGCAAACAGGAUUAGAUACCCGUGUAGUCCCAUGA
RNAcentral lists this ribosomal RNA (478 nucleotides) under uncultured organism. Its description in RNAcentral is "partial 16S ribosomal RNA". It matches the Rfam family "Bacterial small subunit ribosomal RNA", at positions 331 to 800 of the family's 1533-position model. The record is from RNAcentral.